UUAUUUGAUUAUUACUUUUGUUUGUUAGUUAUGUAAUUCAGUUACCAGACUUCAUUGAAAGAAAUAAUGUUGUAAACAACCAAUGAAAACUGACAGGUUAUCCUUCAACAGGUUGAAUCAAGCAUAGAGGCUGUAAUAUGUGGAUUAUUAGCUUAUCAUCACGAAGCUGUACCUGGCAGAGUGGAUUUCACGAAGCAGAGGGUCGCAUGAAUGUUGACCUUUCUAAACAGGCAACUGCAUUUCUUCUUCAAGCCAGAGAAAGCCGUCGACUGACACAGCUCAUUUACGCCGUUGAUUUUCCUUUGAAUUAUAUUUCAUUUUUAUCAGCAAGCUUAAAAGCAAUAAGCUUAAACUGUAGAAUGACUUAGCCACUGUUCAGACCUGGCAUCUUGGUUGAUCCGAGCUCAGGGGGGCAGCUAAAGAGAGCUGUUAACCAAAUGCUGAGUGGAGUCCAGCAACAUCAGGCCGCAUGAUCGGAGCACCUCAAACAGCAAAUGAGCGACAUGAUUGAGAGACAUUCUGGGGACCUGGAUCAACUAAAGACUGAUGCGAUGGGGAUAUUUGACCAGUCUGUUGAGCCUUUCUGUCAAACUGCUUCCACCCAUUUGCAGAAUAAGACCAUCAAAGAACUGCUAGAACCAGUUGAACCAGAGAUUGUUGUGGCAAAACAAACAGUAUGUUAUGUGGAAAACUCCAGAGUUCUUACCAUUAAGGACCGUUAUUUUCAUUAUAUACCGUCAGUGAACAGUUUGGAGCAGCUGCUGGCACAUCCAAGAAUAAGUGCAAUGAUUGAUAAGAGGCCACAGACACGCAAGGAGGGAGUUUUUCAGGAUUUCAUCGAUGGAGACAUUUUUAAUUCCACCCACUGUUUUCCCGCAGCAUUGCAGUUGGUUUUAUAUCCAGAUGAAAUUGAGCUAUGCGAUCCUCUUGGAUCUCGGGUAAACAAAAACUAAUUGUUAUUGAUUUAUUACACCUUAGGUAACAUCAACCCUAAACGCAGAUCAAGACUCGCUGCCCUUCGUCGGCUUGCCAUGGUAAAAUCAAAAGAUCUUUCCCAUUGUGGUACCGCUGAGAUAUUUGAGAGGAUUAACCGUGACUUAACUGAGCUGUGUGACGCUGUCCAGGUUGUCACUGCACAUGGUGAGAGGACAAAUAGCCACUAUAAUAGAAAUAGUACUCUGCAUGUGA
Molecule: long non-coding RNA, 1188 nt
Organism: Micropterus dolomieu (smallmouth bass)
Lineage: Eukaryota; Metazoa; Chordata; Actinopteri; Centrarchiformes; Centrarchidae
Exons: 3
Source: RefSeq, a predicted model, not a curated record